This 497-nucleotide ribosomal RNA is filed under the name uncultured bacterium. RNAcentral describes it as "partial 16S ribosomal RNA". It matches the Rfam family "Bacterial small subunit ribosomal RNA", at positions 28 to 507 of the family's 1533-position model. The record is from RNAcentral.
GAUGAACGCUGGCGGCGUGCCUAAUACAUGCAAGUCGAGCGAACGGACGAGAAGCUUGCUUCUCUGAUGUUAGCGGCGGACGGGUGAGUAACACGUGGAUAACCUACCUAUAAGACUGGGAUAACUUCGGGAAACCGGAGCUAAUACCGGAUAAUAUUUUGAACCGCAUGGUUCAAAAGUGAAAGACGGUCUUGCUGUCACUUAUAGAUGGAUCCGCGCUGCAUUAGCUAGUUGGUAAGGUAACGGCUUACCAAGGCAACGAUGCAUAGCCGACCUGAGAGGGGGAUCGGGCACACGGGAACUGAGACCCGGACCAGACUCCUGCGGGAGGCAGCAGGAGGGAAUGUUCCGCAAUGGGCGAAAGCCUGACAGAGCAACGCCGCGUGAGUGAUGAAGGUCGUCGGAUCGUAAAACUCUGUUAUUAGGGAAGAACAUAUGUGUAAGUAACAGUGCACAGCUUGACGGUACCUAAUCAGAAAGCCACGGCUAACUACGUG